Molecule: ribosomal RNA, 253 nt
Filed under: uncultured bacterium
Lineage: Bacteria
Description: partial 16S ribosomal RNA
Rfam family: Bacterial small subunit ribosomal RNA
Source: RNAcentral
UACGAAGGGGGCUAGCGUUGUUCGGAAUCACUGGGCGUAAAGCGUAUGUAGGCGGAUUGUUAAGUCAGGGGUGAAAUCCCGAGGCUCAACCUCGGAACUGCCUUUGAUACUGGCUUUCUUGAGUUCGGGAGAGGUGAGUGGAACUCCUAGUGUAGAGGUGAAAUUCGUAGAUAUUAGGAAGAACACCAGUGGCGAAGGCGGCUCACUGGCCCGAAACUGACGCUGAUGUACGAAAGCGUGGGGAGCAAACAGG